This 1170-nucleotide ribosomal RNA is filed under the name uncultured Methanomassiliicoccales archaeon. RNAcentral describes it as "bacterial SSU rRNA". It matches the Rfam family "Archaeal small subunit ribosomal RNA", at positions 129 to 1306 of the family's 1478-position model. Lineage: Archaea; Methanobacteriati; Thermoplasmatota; Thermoplasmata; Methanomassiliicoccales. The record is from RNAcentral.
CCCUCGGGACUGAGGAUAAUACCCUAUAGGUUACCGAUGCUGGAAUGCUCGGUAACUCAAAGUUCCGGCGCCUUAGGAUGGAUCUGCGGCCGAUUAGGUUGUUGUUGGGGUAACGGCCCAACAAGCCCGUAAUCGGUACGGGUUGUGGGAGCAAGAGCCCGGAGUUGGAUUCUGAGACACGAAUCCAGGCCCUACGGGGCGCAGCAGGCGCGAAAACUUUACAAUGCGGGCAACCGUGAUAAGGGAACCUCGAGUGCCUGUACAUGCAGGCUGUCUGGGUGUCUAAAACACACCCAAAGAAAGGGCCGGGCAAGACCGGUGCCAGCCGCCGCGGUAAUACCGGCGGCUCGAGUGGUGGCCACUUUUAUUGGGCUUAAAGCGUUCGUAGCUGGGUUGUUAAGUCUCUUGGGAAAUCCGGCGGCUUAACCGUCGGGCGUCUAAGAGAUACUGGCAAUCUUGGAACCGGGAGAGGUGAGGGGUACUUCGGGGGUAGGAGUGAAAUCCUGUAAUCCUCGAGGGACCACCUGUGGCGAAGGCGCCUCACCAGAACGGCUUCGACAGUGAGGGACGAAAGCUGGGGGAGCAAACCGGAUUAGAUACCCGGGUAGUCCCAGCCGUAAACGAUGUGCGUUAGGUGUAUCGACGACCACGAGUCGUCGAGGUGCCGAAGGGAAACCGUGAAACGUACCGCCUGGGAAGUACGGUCGCAAGGCUGAAACUUAAAGGAAUUGGCGGGGGAGCACCACAACAGGUGGAGCCUGCGGUUUAAUUGGACUCAACGCCGGGAAGCUCACCGGAUAGGACAGCGGAAUGAUUGCCGGGCUGAAGACUCUGCAUGACUAGCUGAGAGGAGGUGCAUGGCCGUCGUCAGUUCGUACUGUGAAGCAUCCUGUUAAGUCAGGCAACGAGCGAGACCCACGCCAACAGUUGCCAGCACGAUCCCCGGAUCGGUGGGGACACUGUUGGGACCGCCUCUGCUAAAGAGGAGGAAGGAAUGGGCAACGGUAGGUCAGCAUGCCCCGAAUUAUCCGGGCUACACGCGGGCUACAAUGGGCAGGACAAUGGGUAUCGACACCGAAAGGUGAAGGCAAUCUCCUAAACCUGUCCGUAGUUCGGAUUGUGGGCUGUAACUCGCCCACAUGAAGCUGGAAUCUGUAGUAAUCGCGUCAA